RNAcentral lists this ribosomal RNA (1191 nucleotides) under uncultured Alteromonas sp. RNAcentral's name for it is "bacterial SSU rRNA". It matches the Rfam family "Bacterial small subunit ribosomal RNA", at positions 52 to 1263 of the family's 1533-position model. Lineage: Bacteria; Pseudomonadati; Pseudomonadota; Gammaproteobacteria; Alteromonadales; Alteromonadaceae. The record is from RNAcentral.
CACAUGCAAGUCGAACGGUAACAUUUCUAGCUUGCUAGAAGAUGACGAGUGGCGGACGGGUGAGUAAUGCUUGGGAACUUGCCUUUGCGAGGGGGAUAACAGUUGGAAACGACUGCUAAUACCGCAUAAUGUCUUCGGACCAAACGGGGCUUCGGCUCCGGCGCAAAGAGAGGCCCAAGUGAGAUUAGCUAGUUGGUAAGGUAACGGCUUACCAAGGCGACGAUCUCUAGCUGUUCUGAGAGGAAGAUCAGCCACACUGGGACUGAGACACGGCCCAGACUCCUACGGGAGGCAGCAGUGGGGAAUAUUGCACAAUGGGGGAAACCCUGAUGCAGCCAUGCCGCGUGUGUGAAGAAGGCCUUCGGGUUGUAAAGCACUUUCAGUUGUGAGGAAAAGUUAGUAGUUAAUACCUGCUAGCCGUGACGUUAACAACAGAAGAAGCACCGGCUAACUCCGUGCCAGCAGCCGCGGUAAUACGGAGGGUGCGAGCGUUAAUCGGAAUUACUGGGCGUAAAGCGCACGCAGGCGGUUUGUUAAGCUAGAUGUGAAAGCCCCGGGCUCAACCUGGGAUGGUCAUUUAGAACUGGCAGACUAGAGUCUUGGAGAGGGGAGUGGAAUUCCAGGUGUAGCGGUGAAAUGCGUAGAUAUCUGGAGGAACAUCAGUGGCGAAGGCGACUCCCUGGCCAAAGACUGACGCUCAUGUGCGAAAGUGUGGGUAGCGAACAGGAUUAGAUACCCUGGUAGUCCACACCGUAAACGCUGUCUACUAGCUGUGUGUGCCUUUAAGGCGUGCGUAGCGAAGCUAACGCGCUAAGUAGACCGCCUGGGGAGUACGGCCGCAAGGUUAAAACUCAAAUGAAUUGACGGGGGCCCGCACAAGCGGUGGAGCAUGUGGUUUAAUUCGAUGCAACGCGAAAAUCCUUACCUACACUGACAUGCAGAGAACUUUCCAGAGGUUGAUGGUGCUUCGGGAACUCUGACACAGGUGCUGCAUGGCCUGUCGUCAGCUCGUGUCGUGAGAUGUGGGUAGUCCCGCAACGAGCGCAUCCUUGUUCUAGUGCAGCAUUAGUGGGCACUCUAGGAACUGCGGUGACAAUCGGAGGAAGGUGGGACGACGUCAAGUCAUCAUGCUUACGUUAGGCUACCACUGCUAAUGCAUUACGAGGAAGCGGGACGGGGGGGAAGGGAUCU